UUCUGGAAAAGCUCUGGCUGGUUUCUUUCUUCAUGUUCUAGGCACAGGCAUUGGAGCUUGGAAUCGGCUCCUCUCAGGUAAAAGUAAAAUCUCUUGUGUUAUUUGCUACCGGUAAUCUCUGUCGCAGUAAAAAUUCUUGAGCUGGAGAUAUCAAAAAUAUCUUUUCACCGACAAAAGUCUCGAGGAGAUUCAUCACCUCGAUCGCAUACCUCCGCCUCAAAGCUGUUCUUCACUGAGCUUGAUGAUCUCCUUUGAAACCAUCUUGGGGACAAUUAAAAGUUUAAACAGGGCUUCCCACAAGUUUACCUCCUAGUGCAAAUCACGUCCCUUGAAUGCUCGGAAUCUCUCUCGCUCUCCUCUUCAUCGGUCUCCCGAUCGCGCAGCCUCUUGGC
RNAcentral lists this long non-coding RNA (392 nucleotides) under Selaginella moellendorffii. RNAcentral's name for it is "long non-coding RNA (SMOE_LNC000872)". The record is from RNAcentral. Lineage: Eukaryota; Viridiplantae; Streptophyta; Lycopodiopsida; Selaginellales; Selaginellaceae.